GAUGGAUAAAUUCACCACCACCCUCCACUUCCUUCAAUUUCAUCCUCUUUGACCACCACCACUACCACCCUCUUCUUCUUCGUCUUCCUUUCUUUUCGUUUCUUAUACCCUGUAUCCCUACGGUUACUGUAACCCUAAAUACCAAAUUAGCUAACUUUGAGUAUAGCUUCAAUUUCAUUAUCUUCCCAAUUUCGAUUUUAAAUCCACAUAGAAACAUAAUUUCACUUUAGGUUAGUAAAAAAUUUAUUGAUGGAUUAACGUCGCAGCACAUGACUUGGUGUUUUGAAUUGAUUUCUAACCUCCAACCCUAAAUACCAAAUUCGAUGGAUCAACGUAGAGGCCCAAGACUAUUGGAGCUAGCUCCAAUUCCAGAGCAAGCCGAGAGUGAUGCGGACGAAAAAUAGUUGUUGCGGAAUGCUCAGUAUAAAGUGAAACAAGAGAAAAUGACAUUCGAUGAAAGACAAACACUGAAGGAAAGAUGUCGUCUUGAUUAUCGCAAACGAAUUGAAGCCAGUAAAAUUUAUGAUGUCGGUUCAAACAUCAGAAUUGAUGGCGGAGGUCCAGAGUUCAUGCGAAUCACUCGACGGUUGAAUGAGGACAUUAAUGAGGAAUGGAUAUCCGGAAAAACAUGUUUCUAUUAUGAUGGACUGAAAAGGCAGAGGUUGAAUGAUCCCAUGGUUCGUUGUCCUGACGGAUUCAUUGCAAGGUAUAACUUCGGGUUCUCAUCCACGUCGAAAUCCAAGAAUUUUUGAGCUAGCUCGAUUUUGAGUGCUACAGAAAUAUUAAGAAACACGAUCCCAACAAAGAGAUGCUCACUUACAACAGCGCCGUCUUCUUUACGGAUUAAAAUAAAAUUCAAUGACUGUAUUCAAACAAAAAGCGCUUUUAAAAAAACAUAAUUGGACGCGGACACACAUCGGAAACAAGGAACAACUCCCUACUACCACUCAAUUUCGGCCGCAAGACCCUGAAGUGGGAACCAGUACAACAACAACCCUACAAGUGUCUAACUCGAAUGGAGAGCAUACACCAGAAUCAAGUAAUGGUAAGUUAAAACAAAUUACGCUUUCUCCAUGUUGGACGGAUGAAUUGUUCAAAAACAUUCAGGGACUUAUUUUCUUAUGCAGCAUGUUAGCACAACUGCCAAUCUCCAGUCUUCCCAGAGACUCUCAACAACUCUAGUCUAUAGGCUAGAAAUUAGGUCUUUUAAGUUGUUUUCAACUCUUCUUUGUUUGUUAGGAAAUAUUCAAAAUCUGUAACAAAUCUGUUGGAUUCCUAAUAUAAAUAAGAAUCAUAUCUCUACAAGAUUAUUGUGGAAGAUAUUCUACCAAAUAUCAUGUUCUAAGUUGGUAUCAGGAGGGUUCGAUCCUCAUUCUUCCGCUGUGAUCUUCACCAUCUGAUUUUAGUUUCAAAAAAAAAAAAACAUCCAAAGAGUUUUGAACUCUACAUCAUCUCUCUCUGGAGCGCACCCUUCAAUAAGCAAAGAAAAAAAGAAAACAGAAAAUACACCAUCACCACCAAACCAGGCUAAUGGAGAUGUGAUGGAUCUUUCCCCGGUUAGUAACAAGUGGAGGAAGGAUUUCUUCCCUCAUGGGAAUGAUGAAGACAAUUUGUCAAAUAAUGCUCCUGUUGAUCGUGCUCAAGUCAGGGAGAUCCACCCUGUCGAGCCUACCUGGCUGAAUGGGUUUAAUGGGACGACGAGGAGUAACGCCCAUGGGCCUGUUGCUGUGAAAACUAUUUAUGAAGCUGAAGAAGGUUAUAAUCAUCUGUUUGGAGAUAAUAAUUUUGUCACAAAUCACAAAGAUGAUGGUGGUAAAACAGUUCAACUUCAACUAAACAAAUUUCAAUACCUUUCAACCAAUUUUAAACACCUUGCAACAACAAUACCCGAACAAAUUAAUACCAUUACCAAUUUUAUCUGUUAACCAACACAGAUCAAUACUACCAAAUGAAGAGGUAUUUCGAAUAUCUCACACAACCAUUUGAAGAGGUAUUUUGACUAUCUCACACUAUGAAUUUGAAGAGAAACACCAAUUUUCUCAUACAACAGUUAAGGGAAUUUAAGGGGCCAUGAAACAGACUUCUCAAGGUUUCAAAUUCUUCGGUCCAAGUUGCACAUCCGUAAACUACAACACAACUUGAGGGGUGGUGUUAGCACAACUGCCAAUCUCCAGUCUUCCCAGAGACUCUCAACAACUCUAGUCUAUAGGCUAGAAAUUAGGUCUUUUAAGUUGUUUUCAACUCUUCUUUGUUUGUUAGUAAAUUCAAAAUCUGUAACAAAUCUGUUGGAUUCCUAAUAUAAAUAAGAACCAUAUCUCUACAAGAU
Molecule: long non-coding RNA, 2326 nt
Organism: Papaver somniferum (opium poppy)
Lineage: Eukaryota; Viridiplantae; Streptophyta; Magnoliopsida; Ranunculales; Papaveraceae
Exons: 6
Source: RefSeq, a predicted model, not a curated record